UUAGCCAGGCGUGGUGGUAGAUGCCUGUAAUCCCAGCUACUCAGGAGGCUGAGGCAUAAGAAUUGCUUGAACCCAGGAGGCAGAGGUUGCAGUGAGCAGAGAUUGCGCCACUGCACUCCAGCCUGGGCAACAGAGUAAGACAGUCUUUAAAAAAAAAAAAAAAAAAAAAAAAAAAAAAAAAAAAGCUGCCAGCAGAGUAAGACUGCACAAAUGGCAGUAGGCUGAGGCAGCAGAGUGGGGCAGCCCUGGAAAGGCAGCUGGCUCCUGGGCAGGGCCAACCACAGCCAGCCCAGUUGAGCUAAGCCCCUGCCCCUCCAGCUCUCCUUCAUGAGGUCUGCUGCCUCAGUUAAUCUCUCCUCUCUCCAUCCUGCCCACUACCCCUCGCUCAGCAGGGCAAGGACAUACCGCCCAUCCUGAGACCCUCCCUGCACUCAGAAACCUGGGAGAUCCCUUUUGAGAAGAACUGUGGGGAGGACAAGAAGUGUGAGGCAAACUUGAGAGUGUCCUUCUCUCCUGCAAGAUCCAGAGCCCUGCGUCUAACUGCUUUUGCCAGCCUCUCUGUGGAGCUGAGCCUGAGU
Molecule: small RNA, 578 nt
Filed under: Pan troglodytes (chimpanzee)
Lineage: Eukaryota; Metazoa; Chordata; Mammalia; Primates; Hominidae
Description: retained intron
Source: RNAcentral